RNAcentral lists this ribosomal RNA (438 nucleotides) under uncultured bacterium. RNAcentral's name for it is "bacterial SSU rRNA". It matches the Rfam family "Bacterial small subunit ribosomal RNA", at positions 58 to 483 of the family's 1533-position model. The record is from RNAcentral.
GAAGCAAACAGAUCUCCUUCGGGAGUGACGUUUGUGGAACGAGCGGCGGAUGGGUGAGUAUCACGUGGGCAACCUGCCUGUAAGAUCGGGAUAACUCGCGGAAACGUGAGCUAAUACCGGAUGAAGUCUUACGCCACCUGGCGUAAGGAUGAAAGAUGGCCUUUGUGCUAUCACUUACAGAUGGGCCCGCGGCGCAUUAGCUAGUUGGUGGGGUAAUGGCCUACCAAGGCGACGAUGCGUAGCCGACCUGAGAGGGUGAUCGGCCACACUGGGACUGAGACACGGCCCAGACUCCUACGGGAGGCAGCAGUAGGGAAUCUUCCGCAAUGGACGAAAGUCUGACGGAGCAACGCCGCGUGAGUGAUGAAGGUCUUCGGAUCGUAAAAACUCUGUUGUCAGGGAAGAACAAGUGACGUUCGAAUAGGGCGUGACCUUGAC